Long non-coding RNA from Sinocyclocheilus rhinocerous, 232 nucleotides. RefSeq lists it as uncharacterized. The record is from RefSeq and is a predicted model, not a curated record. The transcript is spliced from 2 exons. NCBI's taxonomy places the organism in Eukaryota, Metazoa, Chordata, Actinopteri, Cypriniformes, Cyprinidae.
UGCGUCGGAGCUGCAGUAUCAAUUGCUCCAUCACUAAUGAUAUACGGUUUUCUGAGCGCACACAACCGAAGCACACGGAUAGACAGCGGCCACCAAACAGCAUCUCAACUGCAGGCGGACGCAUCCCUCCUCUCUCCGGUACAACCGACGGUUCGGCGAGGAGAGCAGCACGACUGGACCUGCAGAUAGUCAUUCCAGGGUCUUAGGCUGGACUGUAUCUACCGACACUGAG